This is a long non-coding RNA of Oreochromis niloticus (Nile tilapia), 2942 nucleotides long. The record is from Ensembl. NCBI's taxonomy places the organism in Eukaryota, Metazoa, Chordata, Actinopteri, Cichliformes, Cichlidae.
AUGCUUGUACAUAUGUGUGUGGGUGGCUGUGUGUCUGAGCACUCGUUUAUAGGUGCCUUCAGGCCUGGUGGGUGUGGCCCUGCUAGGGGACUGGCCACACCCGAAGCCACGCACCUGCUGCUGAUCAGGCCUCGUCGGGGGAGCUACUUAAGAGAGUCUUGGAGCUCCCACUGGCGCGGGAUCAUUGCGAGGAGCGUGGGAGGCCUGAAGAGCGGCGAGCACCGGGAGUGCGACACACGGGAGCAGAGAGCACAAGGAGGACACGUCACGGGAGUCUGGGGAAAACACGGAGAUUUAUUAUUGUUUGUACCACACACUGUAAAUAAACACACUGUUCGCACACAGAGCACCACGCCUGGGUCCUCCUUCCCUACAUCCCCACGGUCUGCCAGCACAGACCGUGACAGAAUGAUCCCGCCAGACAUGGACCCAGCGGUCUCUGAGGAGAGGCUCAGGAGGGAGAUUAUGGACAGGGUUUACAGACUCUGUGAGUUGUGGUGGGAGAAGCCCGCAGAAGGGUUGCGUCGCGCCGUGGGGAGGCGGCUGCAGGAGACGCUUUUUAAAUUCCCUUGGCUGGUUGACGAUCUCAAUCCUGUCGUCAUGGACUUCCUGCUUUCCACCCUCCACCUCCACUCUCCUCCUCAGGCUGCUCACCAGCCCAGACAGCUGGUGGAUUCAAAGCCUGACACGCCGGCCCCGACGUCUACCCGGAGACGACGUUUGCGCCGCCAGCGUUCCUCACCGCAGCCUAAUCCACGGACAUCUCAAGAGCCGGCUGUGGUGAGCAAUACGGACAUUUUUUCAUUUCCCUCACCAUCUGUUUGUGUGUCUGCAGUGGACGAUGACGCUGCCGUAAGCCAUCCGACGGCGCAAGUAACAUCACCUCGGUCAGAGGUCUCCACACCACUCGCUGCUUCACCAUCUGCAGUUGUAGCGCCGCCGUCAUCUCAUCCGCCUGCAGUCACCCUUCUGCCAUCUUCUUCACCGGCUGCUACGUCACCACUCGGACCUGUCCUGCCCGAGCAGGAGCUCAGCUCGCCGGAGCAGCUGCCGGAGGAGCUCAAGAAGCCGGAGCCGCUCAGGGAGCCGGAGCUGCUGCUGGAGGAGCUCAGGGAGCCAGAGCCGCCGCCGCUGCGUUGCCAGCGGAGGAGCUCGACCAGCGGGAGGAGCCUGUGCUGCCAGCGGAAGACCUCGGCAAGCCGGUGGGACCCGCUCAGCCGAAGCUGGAGGUUAGCGAGCUGGAGCUGGAGCUCAGUGAGCAGGAGCAGGAGCUCAGAGAGCGGGAGGAGCCCGCACCGCCAGCUGCGAAGCCCUGCGAGCCGGAGCAUUAGCUCGGAGAGCGGGAGGAGCCCGCACCGCCAGCUGAGGAGCUCAGCGUGCCGGAGGAGCCAGCGCCGCUGCCGGAGGAGCUCAACGAGCCGGAGGGACCGGCGUUGCCAGCAGAGGAGCUCGGCCAGCGGAGGACCUCAGCAAGCCGGAGGGACCUCCACGUCUAGCGCACCCUCCACGCCAUCCACGUCCAGCGCGUCCACGUCAGCGACCAGCGCGCUACACUGCUGCUCACUGUUGCUCGCCGGAGCAACGUCGUUGCCGUCGGACCCGGGGCAAGCCACCGGAGGAGCAGCACUGCCGCCACUGGACCCGGGGCAAGCCGCCGGAGGAGCAGCGCCGCCGCCACUGGACCCGGGCCAGGCCACCGGAGGAGCAGCGCCGCCGCCUCGGGAUCAGGGGAAGGCCACCAGAACCGUUUCGCCGCUGCUGCCGGACCCAUGGCCGCCCGCCGGAGCUGCAACGCUGCCGCCAUUGGAGGUAGGCCACCUGAACUCUUUUGUUGUAGUGAUGGGCCGCCUGGGACUGUUUUGUGGCGUCUUUUCUUUUUUUUGCACCGCUGCUGGAUGCGCGGUCUGACUUUGGGACUGUGAACUGUGAGGGUUUGUUAUUUUGUUGUUUCUGCUUGUUUUGGUUCUGAAGAAAUUGAAGUUUAUGGAGCGACUUAUUGGGGAGACCAAAUAAGAGGGAGUUGCAAUAAUCGAUCCGGGAAGUAAUAAGACUAUGGACAAGGAUGGCAGCAGCAUGGGGAGUAAGGAAGGGACGAGGUUGGUUAUUGUUACGUAAGACAAAGUAUGCAGCUAAUUUAUUAUCUGCAUACUUUCACUUACACUUCUUGUGUUUCAAGUGAACACAUUUUAACUGGACCAGACUCAACUGCUUUUAAACUCAUACAUUCCCAAUGAUAAGCAAAUGCAAACUUUUGUUUCCUUGCAAGUGAUACAGUCAAAUUCUUAAAGUUCUUAACACAGUCUUUGAAAAAUAUGUUUGGCUUCAAAUCUCAUGGUCCAGAUAUGAAUGAGAGGACUAAUCUUUCGAAUGCACCUUGGAUAGUGGACCAUGAAAUGAUGUUUUGGAAUUAAGUUGUUUAAUGGGUAUAGUUCCUCAGAGUCUAUGGUGUUCAAUAAUCAGGUGCUUUAAAUACACAGUCAUUCCUUCAGUGAUAGAGUAUGAGAAAACAAUGUUUAGAAUGUGCAACAACAAAAGCAACAAAUGCCAGUGCAAAUCAUCCUCUGGUACCAGGCCACCAAAUUUCAAAGGUAUGUUUGUGAUCAAACAAAGUGUUUGUGAUGCAUUUAAACCUAUUCCAUGUCCUGCACGAUCCAGAUUAAUAUUCAUUGGUUUAUUUUUCUUUUCUAUAUAGCCAUAAUUAAAAGCAUUUAUCCCAUUUAACAAGCUAUCUUUAGAGAUGAGGUAUUCAAUUAAAUAUUGAAAUAGCAGCUUGACUUCAUAUUGACCAACCCCUUCCAAAAUAUCAUGCAUGAUGUCAACGGCAAAAUUUUCCACAAUAUUGAAAUACUUUAAUGAAUUAAGUAUACUCUUUCUUUUUAUGCUGAAUGAAGAUGUUAAUGUUGGAUCAUCUACCAAAUAAUUAUAAUGUUGGUUAUUCAGAA